Molecule: ribosomal RNA, 329 nt
Filed under: uncultured eukaryote
Lineage: Eukaryota
Description: partial 18S ribosomal RNA
Rfam family: Eukaryotic small subunit ribosomal RNA
Source: RNAcentral
CCCUUAGAUGUUCUGGGCCGCACGCGCGCUACACUGACGAUGGCAACGAGUUUUUCCUUCGCCGAAAGGUGUGGGUAAUCUUUUGAAACAUCGUCGUGCUGGGGAUAGAUCAUUGCAAUUUUUGAUCUUGAACGAGGAAUUCCUAGUAAGCGCGAGUCAUCAGCUCGCGUUGAUUACGUCCCUGCCCUUUGUACACACCGCCCGUCGCUACUACCGAUUGAAUGGUUUAGUGAGGACUCCUGAUUGGCACCGCCGCCCCGGCAACGGAGCAGCGGACUGCCGAAAAGUUGUUCAAACUUGAUCAUUUAGAGGAAGUAAAAGUCGUAACA